AAGUCGUAACAAGGUUUCCGUAGGUGAACCUGCGGAAGGAUCAUUAUCGAGUUUUGAACGGGUUGUAGCUGGCCUCAUACGGGGCAUGUGCACGCCUGGCUCAUCCACUCUUCAACCUCUGUGCACUUAUUGUAGAUCGGUGACAAGGUCGAGUUCUUUCACGAGUUCUUGACUGGAAAAACCUUUCUACGUUUUUACCACAAACGCUUCAGUUAUAGAAUGUUUAUCUGCGUAUAACGCAUCUUUAUACAACUUUCAGCAACGGAUCUCUUGGUUCUG
Molecule: unclassified non-coding RNA, 279 nt
Filed under: Phlebiopsis sp.
Lineage: Eukaryota; Fungi; Basidiomycota; Agaricomycetes; Polyporales; Phanerochaetaceae
Description: partial internal transcribed spacer region
Rfam family: Eukaryotic small subunit ribosomal RNA (bases 1-46)
Source: RNAcentral